This is a long non-coding RNA of Beta vulgaris subsp. vulgaris (sugar beet), 4413 nucleotides long. RefSeq lists it as uncharacterized. The transcript is spliced from 2 exons. The record is from RefSeq and is a predicted model, not a curated record. NCBI's taxonomy places the organism in Eukaryota, Viridiplantae, Streptophyta, Magnoliopsida, Caryophyllales, Amaranthaceae.
UUCCUUCUUAAGUAGUAACUUCAAUCACCAAUCACUAAUCACCAUGUCCUUAAAAAUAAAAAAUUCUUGGAAAGUGAUAAUAUAUUACUCUUUUCGUUCCAAAAUAUAGUUACUAUUUCUAUUUUGGGUACUUCAAAAUGUAGUAUUCAUUUUCAUAUUUAGUUCCACAUUUUUCCCGUAAUUUGUCUAGAAAAAUUGUGUCCCAUCAUUUAUUUGCUUAUUGAAUUUUGUUUUUUCCUUUGUUUAUUCAACCAAAAUGUUACAAUAAUUAAUGUUCUUUCACCAAUUAUUCUCUAUUUUCUCUCCUAAAAUCAUCUUUUUCCUUACAAUAUUUAUUUGAAUUAACAAAAAAUCUUUACUAUCUCUCUUAGAUUCUACUUGCAUAAAUUACCGUGAAAAAAGGAAAAUGGAAAUUAUAUUUUGAGACGGAUGGAGUAUAAAAUAAUGUAAAUGAAAAAUUUUGGGUGGUCAUAGUUAAUUAUAAGAAUAACGUAGUGAUUUCUAAUGAUUUUAGAAUUAGAAACAUAAGUCGAAAUUAUGUAUUACACGAAAAAAAAAAACCAAUAUAUUUUUAUAGUGAUAUAGUAUCGAACGAAAACUAUUCCACCUUUAUUAAAAGUAUUUUUAACCUGAUAUAUUAUUAUUAAAUAACUCUUUAUAGUUAGAUUAAAAAUAUUACUUCCUCCAUCUUCCAAGUCUUUUCGAAAAAUAUGGCAUAUAGUGUUAUUAAGUUUUAUGAUAACUAGAGUAUAGAUACAACAUUUAUGCAAGUAAUUUUUUAAAGUUAAUGUGGAGAGAUGAGUCAUGAGCAAAUGGUUAAGAAAGAUGAAGUGCAAAGGAAUAUUCUUUUCACUUAAUGAUGUCACUGUAUGAUGUCAAUGAAUGAUGUCAACAAUAUAAACGCGGCAAAUAUGAUCUGCUAGAUGAGAGAUCUUAGGUACCUAAAUCUUUUUUGUUUUGGUUGUUUGACAUGGUGUACAUAAAAUUAGAGGUGGGCAUGGGCCCGGGCCGGCACGAUUUGGGCCCGGGCCGAGCCCGCUCGAGGUCCGGCCCGUUGUCUGCUGCGUGGGCCGCGGGCCUGUCACGGGCCACUAAUGGGCCUGGGUCCGUCCCGGUCCGUCAUUUACUCAAGCCCGCGGGCCGAGCCCGUGAACAGGCCCGGCCUAGCCCAUGCCCACCUCUAGGUGUAGUUACUCAAAAUUGCCCCUUUUCACUUUGAAUUUACUAUUUUACCCUUCUCUUUUACCACCACCUACCCCCUGCCUCCUACCACUACCUACCACCCAUCACCACCCAUGUCGUAAAAAAAUGAUUUUAAUUGAGAUUAAGGGGUGAACGUAUGGCCAGGUGGUUUGACCCACGGCCCGAACGUUUUGCAUGUACAUUCAGACCAUGGGUCGAACGUCUGGCCAAAAAGGUCGAUCCAUGGUCCGAACGUCCAGGCCAGACGUUCGGGCCAUGAAUCGAAUGUUCUAGCCAUACAUUCGACCCUCAACUAAAAAAACAUUGAAAUUUUUUUAAGAGGACGAACAUCGGGUCAGGACGUUUGGGUCAUGGGUCAAACUUCCUGACUAGACGUUCAACCCAUGGCUUGAACGUCGAGGCCAGACGUUUGAGCAAUGGGUCGAAUGUCUUGGCCAGACGUUCACCCCUUAGCCCUAGAAAAAAUUCAAAAUAUGGGUGGUUGACGAGGUGACGAUGGGGCUUGAGGUGGCGGUGGGGAUGGAGGUGGCAGGAGGUGAUGGUUUGGAGAAAGAAAAGAAAAAAAAGAAGGGUAAAUUUGGAAAUGUUUGGUGAGAACGGGACGAUCUUAAGUAAUUUUGAGGCGAUGUAUAGCAGUUUAGCCUUAAAUUUAGAUGGUACAUCUGAAAAAUAAUUUUUAGAUGUCUCUUUUUUCCAUGAAUGUCUCAUUAAUUAAUUUGUAAGUACCUUGAGGAAUAAAAAAAUGAGAUCUUGUACAUGUUUUGUACGUACACGUAGAAGAUGAUCAAUUGUGCAAUCUAUACAAAUAUAUUAAAAAGCGUACGAAAACAAGAAAAUGUGUCACGUGACGCUCUCCCUAUGGAGUUUUAUUUCAUGCUGUAAUCCAUAUACAAUAAAAAAAAUUAAGAAGGAAAGUGGAGGACCACUACUUAUUCUCACAUUUACUAUAUAUUUGAACCUAUCGUAUUUAUCAUUGUUAACCAAAACUUUGAAAAAAAAAAUUUAACUUAGGGCAAACAAAUAGAAUAUUUUCACCGUCGUUAGUCAUUAAGAGCAUUUGGGUGUAUUGUUAUGAAAUUGAAAGGACCCCGUGUAUUUUGAAAAGUGUGAGGAUAAUUCGUGAAUAAAUCAAAUAUUUGGGGAUACUUCGUGAAAAAACUGUGUAUUCUACCAUAAAGUUUUUGCACGAAAAAAAGUUACAUUGACAUUAUUACCUUUAUUAACUACCGUGAUUUACAAAAUAAAUCAAGUCAAUACGAUUAUAGAACAUAGUUCAAGUGAAUUUAUUAAUUUUUUAAUUAAUUGGCCAUAUUAGCUAUUGGCAUUGUUCACAUACUUAAUAUUGACUUUCUUGCAUGCAUAAGAUAGAAAAAAAUUAUCAUACACCUGAAUGUAUCGUGAUCAUAGAUUCAUGAGAUUUUUUUUUUUUUUUGCUCAUUGCUCAUUGCUCAUUAUAAACUAUUUAAAUGAGCAAAAUAUACUAAAAAGAUAUAUCUCCAGUAAGCAAAUGAACAAAAUUAGUCAUAUAUGCUGGCAUACACCUUAAUAUUGAUAAAUGAACUCAUAAUUAAGAAUACUUGAUUAAUUAUAAGAUAUGUUUUUCUGGUAGAUCCUAAUAUCCUAUCCAUACUUUUUUUGUCAAACAUAUAGAAAACGCCAAAAUGGACAAAAAAUUGACAAAAAGUAUGCAUAAAAGGAUUACUUACAGCGUGCAAGGGACUGAGAAUAUUAGAUGACUCAUAAUAUUGCAUGCUACUUUGUUGACAUCGCUUGAAUUGUAAAAUCUUCAAAACAUGUACUUCCUCCGUUUCUUUUUACUCGCUACACUUCUCAUUUUACGGACUCCUAUGUAAUUUUUGGAGAAGAGAAAGGUAGAGAGUAAAAAAAAAAGGGACCCAUGUGGGAGGAAAGAGAUAGAGAGAAUUUAUUGUCCAAAAAAGAAGUGUAGCAAGUAAUGUGAAACUUCCUAUAAUGGAAAGUGUAGCGAGUAAAAAGAAACGGAGGAAGUACUUGACAUUGGAUUUACAUCCACCUGUAUAUAUUUUUUCCAUCAAUUUAUGUGUAUCCUCAAGUACAAAAUUAAAUGAGUAAUAUCAAAAUUUUCAACAAAAACACAAUCUUUAUACUAUAAAUAGCCACGUAUGAAGUUGAUUUAGACACAUAUGAUACAAAGUCUAGCAUGUUAAUUACCACCUAAAUAUUUUUUACCAACUAUAAUACAUUAGCAUAUAAAUUUUGUAAGGAAAGAACAUUAGGAUACCCUCGACACGAACAAAAAAUAGAUUAGCAUGUACUUCCUCUGUUUCUAAAUAAGUGCAACAUUUAUUGUUUUCACGUUUGCCAAUGCAUUAUUUUAAGGGUUAAUUGGCUAGAACAGCACCAACUUUGGACCAAGUGCAAGAAACAGCACAACUUUAAGCGGGUGCAAAGCGUAGCACCAACUUAAAGGUGGGGUGCAGGAAAUAGCAUAAAUGAUGCCGGAGAACGGAGAUUCCGCCGGAACUAGGGAAUCUCUAUUAUUUUAAUGUUUUUGUUAAUUCCAUCCCCUUUUUUUUUAGUAAGUCACGUGUUCUCUUUGUUUUUCCCUCUUCUUCUUUAACUUCCAACUCCAUUUUCAAUCCCCUUUUCUCAAUUAUCAGAAACCCUAAAUUCCCAAUCUCAUUUAACAAAAAUCCCCAAUUCUCUCUCUUCUCUUCUUCUUUAACUGAGAACCUUCAUCAUGGUUGAAAGGCAUGGGAAAGUUUACUGCCACCAUGGCUUGCCAGCCAUGACGCAAACUGUAAGCAAGAGAAAUGGGAACCAUGGCAGACGGUUCCAUGGGUGCUCAAAGUGGAAGGAUGAUGAUUGUGAAUUCUUUGAGUGGAUUGAUAAGGAAGCAUAUGGGCAACGUGCUACUGAGGUUAUUCUAGCUCUUAUAUCCACGAAUGAUGCACUAGAAUCUGAAAGCAAUAGAUUGAGAAAUGGAAUUGAAGCAAAAGCGGAUGCCGAAAGGAAGAUUCAAGGGUUGAAAAUGGAGGUCAUAGGAUUGAAGGCUGAGAACAAAUUACUAAAACAACAACAAACCACUUUCAUUAUUGUACUCUUCAUUUCAUGGAUGUUUGUGUACUUGUGUUUAAGUAGGUAGUUUAGGUAUGAUACAAUAUUGCUUUUGACAAUAUUGAAUUUGUAUCCUUGACUGGUGGUUAUUCAAUGCAAUAUUGCUUUUGAGUA